This 296-nucleotide unclassified non-coding RNA is filed under the name Hevea brasiliensis (rubber tree). Lineage: Eukaryota; Viridiplantae; Streptophyta; Magnoliopsida; Malpighiales; Euphorbiaceae. The record is from RNAcentral.
AAAACUACAAGCUCCGUGAUUCUGCAUAAGCCACAAUAUUUUGAUCAGGAUCAAAACACACACAAAAAAGCACUUAUUUUAAACCGUCAGAUGAGGAAAAAUAUAACCCACAAGCAGCUCUAUAUUCUCGUUGUUGGAAGAACCUAUUUCAAAUGUCCACGUAUUCUAUUAUUCAUUGUAAUACAGAAAGAUAGGAUACAAACCUUUGAAGUGGAAAAAGGCUAAUUCCUACUGAAAUAGGUUUGUUUGGCAUGCGAUUGUACGGACAAUUAAUUACAUUUAAUAACAAAUGAAUA